CUUUCUUUGCUGGCGACCGGCGCACGGGUGAGUAACACGUAUCCAACCUGCCUUUACUCGGGGAUAGCCUUUCGAAAGAAAGAUUAAUACCCGAUAGCAUAAUGAUUCCGCAUGGUUUCAUUAUUAAAGGAUUCCGGUAAAGGAUGGGGAUGCGUUCCAUUAGGUUGUUGGUGAGGUAACGGCUCACCAAGCCUUCGAUGGAUGGGGGUUCUGAGAGGAAGGUCCCCCACAUUGGAACUGAGACACGGUCCAA
RNAcentral lists this ribosomal RNA (253 nucleotides) under uncultured bacterium. RNAcentral describes it as "partial 16S ribosomal RNA". It matches the Rfam family "Bacterial small subunit ribosomal RNA", at positions 79 to 334 of the family's 1533-position model. The record is from RNAcentral.